GCUAAGUACGGGCACGAAGCUGGGGUAAGAGGAAGUGUGGAAGCUGUAAACGGAUGUAUGGGGCGUAAAGGGAGGGCAGUGGGGGAGUUAAGUCGGAUGUGAAAGCCGACGGCUUAACCGUGGAUGGGCAUGGGAAACUUGGUCAGUGGAGUGCAGAAGAGGAAAGUGGAAUGCCAUGUGUAGAGGGGAGAUGCGUAGGUAUAUGGAGGAACACCAGUGGCGAAGGCGACUUUCUGGGCUGUAACUGACGCUGAGGCUCGAAAGCGUGGGGAGCAAACAGGAUUAGAUACCCCUGUCGUC
RNAcentral lists this ribosomal RNA (300 nucleotides) under uncultured Clostridium sp. RNAcentral describes it as "bacterial SSU rRNA". It matches the Rfam family "Bacterial small subunit ribosomal RNA", at positions 496 to 795 of the family's 1533-position model. The record is from RNAcentral. Lineage: Bacteria; Bacillati; Bacillota; Clostridia; Eubacteriales; Clostridiaceae.